Ostrea edulis (European flat oyster) is the source of this 9578-nucleotide long non-coding RNA. RefSeq lists it as uncharacterized. Lineage: Eukaryota; Metazoa; Mollusca; Bivalvia; Ostreida; Ostreidae. The transcript is spliced from 2 exons. The record is from RefSeq and is a predicted model, not a curated record.
UUUUUUUUAUGUGCUUGCAAUCUCCAAUCCAAUUUUUCUUAUGAUAGUUUAGAAUAGCAUGAAUGAAUAUUGAUAGCAAGUUAAACAUUUCUAAUAUUGGCUGUUACAUAUAGCAGUAAAUAGGCUCAUUUUAAAUAUGUGACAAAUUUCAGAUGUCCUUCAUUCUUGUGAAUUGAUGGAUGAUCCACUGUCUUUACAUAUAUAGAAAUUUCAACACAAUCAUCUGAGGAUUGAAUCAUGCUGUUUCUGAUGCUAGGACUGUGGUUUACUGAAGUAGGACUGUGGUUUACUGAUGUGAACAAGACUAGCCUCCCUAUACACAUUCUGUAACACAGACUGAAGCUAGGACUGUGGUUUACUGAAGCUAGGACUGUGGUUUACUGAAGCUAGGACUGUGGUAUACUGAAGCUAGGACUGUGGUUUACUGAUGUGAACAAGACUAGCCUUCCUAUGCACAUUCUGUAACACAGACUGAUAAACAAUACUUGAUUUAUACAAGUUGAGGAUCCAGUGAUGUAAAGGAAUACAAAAUCUAUCGCAAAUUACUCGAAAUUACGCUGAAUGAAACUUCGACCAUCUGUUCUUUUCUCGGAUCUUCUCAUCCUGUUCUUUUCUCGGAUCUUCUCAUCCUAGUGUUCUUUUCUCAGGUCUUUUCACAUCUAAAUAUCCUUUUAAAGACUGUUUAAUCAUUUAAUUGUCUGCCUGGAAGUGGACGUUUAGGGCUGGGAAAUAAAUGACAAAUACAUGAUAAUUAUAACCCAAACCCCAAAAAGGGGAGUAACUCUUUCAUGGAUGGACUUAAAAUAGUGUGCUAAGGUUAGACAUCAAAUAAUAAAAUACAUGUGACUUAAAGUACACAACAGGGCCUACAUGGCAUAUAAAAAAUGGAUAAGCAUUCUUCAAAUCAGUGGCUGUAGACUCUAUCUCUAAACCACCCAGAGGGAUUAUACCUUGCCUGGCAGGUGUGUGUUUACCCUUCAUCUGACUUUAUGACUUUCAUGUUUCAAGAGCAAUAAUUUCCUCUGUUUAGAAAUGCACUAGGAAUUCAAAUUUAUUAUAUGCUACAGUGAACAUAUCGUUAAACAUAAAAACCUGCCAUCAGACCUGAUCAGCUGAUACUCAAAGCUUAUUCAUGGAGGGAUGAUGAACUGUAACACUUAAACAGCAAAAUGUUUAUUUUCUUUGCAGGUAUUGCUGCAGAUCUCAGUCAAGUAAAGCAACCCCCAAUCCCUUCCUAAGCCCCGAAACAUCAACUUUAGGAUUAGACGAUUUACCUUCAUUAAACAUCUCCUUAGUUCUUUUAAUCGUGGUAGAAACCCUUUUCUGACUAAGUCAUGAUGUUCUAGAUCUCAUUUAAGUUCUAAAACAAUUCUUGUGGUGUCUCAUUUAAUGAAACUUAACAUCCUAGAACUGUACUUAAACAAUUCUUGUACUAUUUUUAGAGGGUUCUAGAAUAUAGAUACAAGAACUGUUUCAGAAAACUUCUAGAAAAGUAAUAGGACUUCUCGUAUAGGCAUUGAUCUAACUAGAUCAAACUAGACUACAGACACGCCCUCCUUCAUCUGAGAGAGGAACAUAUGUGGCUAAAUGCUUAGAAUACUGACUAUUCGUUACGAAUGAAUUAAGGAUAUUUACUUCCAUCUGUUUUUCUGGCGACAUCAACAAUCAGAGCACGAGUCUAUAAACAACUAUACAACACAAAAAGAAGGAAUAUCUUACACUUCCCUUGUGAAUAGAUGUCAACACCUUCUGAAUUAGCUUACUGCAUUUUACAUUCAAAUAAUGCUUGGAGCCAUUUUUAUUAUAUCACUUACCUUUUUACAUUAAUGGAAAUCCCAGGUGAGUUAGAAAUCCUCAGAUCAGAAACACACGUUUGAAUUCUUGCAUAUUAUUUACGCAUUUGAUAUACCUAAUGUUUUCUUGUCAACAAAUAAACUAGCUGUUUCCCUAUGAAAAAUAAUAAUUCCCAUAAAACCACUAACUAGUUUAAUAAUGCAAAGAUGUUCAACUUCGUGUUGAACCCUAAGAGAAAAAUUGGGUCCUAAAUAAUGAAGAUCCUAGAACAAUUGAGCUAAUUUAGCAUGCAUGACCAAUAAAUGCCCGCAGAAGCACAAACUUAUUAUAAUCCAGUGGGUAAAUAAAUUUAACAGAGACCUCAUAACAAUUCAGUCAAUAGAAUUAACAAUGUAAUCACAUUUUGUCAUGCAGAGGAGGGAGCUGUGCUGGUAGGCCUAACUAAUAUACACUUUCUAUAAUAUAGUACCAUCCCACAUCCAUGACCCCCUAGUGCAAACAUCUGUGCAUCAAAGGACCCCAUUGGAAAUAAGCUUUCAUUGGUUAUCCUGGGUAUUUAUGUAUGUAUGUUUGUACGUAUGUAUAUACCGAAUAAACUUUUAUUUAUUUUUUAUUUAUGAAUGAAAACUUGACAAGCCACUACAGCUAAACGUUUACUCUGAAGACACCUUCACGACACUUUUUUUUAUUGGCCCGUUUUGACAUUUUUAAAAGUACACCACACCAUGCAACAUAAUACACAUACAUAUAUACAUGUACAACACAUUUUUAGUAUAAUUCAUAUUGUACCUCUGACAAAUUGCCUAUAUUCCAAAAUCUAUAAAUUGUUCCUCAUGUACCAAUAUGUAAUAGCUGGUUUGAGUGAAUAAACUGAAUUGAACGAGAGUAUAAAACUUCUGUAAUUACCUAUAGGUAUCAUACAUUUGUAACUGAAUAUAGAACUCCAUAGGUUUGGGUAUAAUGAUAAAUCAUAUUAGUGUAAAUUAUUUUCCCAAGUUUGCUAAAACAAAUCCAGGGUACCUUUUGAACAAUAUGCAUGCUUUUUGAUGAACAAUUCCUUUCUAAAAAUACCGUACUCAAAAUGACUUGUAAAUUUGGCUUCUAACUAUCUUUUUCAGUAAUAGCUACUGUAUGUGUAUAAUACUUAGAUAGCAAAUUAAAAUCAUUGCAUUGUUCAUUAUAAAAAAACUCCGACACAAUAGAUAUGAAAAAUACCUAAGCUGUUUCUCAAGUUUGAUCCCAAUAUCUACUGACAGAGUCACAAAAACAGAAUCUAUGUUCUGCCGUUUUCAAUAUAUUCACAAACAUUGUAAUGUAUUUUUUAUUUUUAUUUUCGCUCAGUAAUUUGUUAUCAGAUUCGUUCUCACAGAGACAACCAUCGUCAUAGGCUAUACUAUUAUUCAUUUUAUAACAGUGUAAUGCAUGCAACGUAAAACAAGUUUAUUAAUAGCUAACUAUUUACUCUAAAGACACUUGAAUAAAACAUUCCUAAUUGGAAAAAGAAAGUCCUAUUUGAUGAAAAAAAUGUUGAAUUAACUUAGGACCAUUACAGGCAUGCGAUUCUUACAUCAGAAUUAGAUAUAUUACAGAGAGAGAGAGUUAGCAUACCAAAGAUUUACAGAAAUUGUUAUGAAUAGUGCAGAAAAUUAAAAAACAAAUCCUACCUUAUAUGUCUGUGAAAUCAGUCAAGGAUAUAUGUAUAAAUCUUAUCCCAGCAGUUUCUGUAAAAUACAUGUAAAUAAAUUGAAUGUUGAGAUGAUAGUGGUUGAACAACUAGGCGGUUUCUGUCCACUGGUCACGAUCGCUUAUACCCUACAGUCAAUCUGUACACAGCUCCAUAUCAAAGGCAGCACCCCUGCUAAAAAAUUCACAAGAAACUUAUCAAAUCUGCAGGACCCGUGAAACUUCCCUGGAGCUAUAUGACACUUACUCAAUGAUUUAAUCAUACCUAAUUACUAUGUCAUUACAAAUUUUUCCUAUGAAUGGAAGUGAUCGACACGUUUUACAAAUAAAGGACUGCUGUACAUGUACUUCGUCUUGGAAUCUUCUGGGGAUGUCAAUUAACUCUCGGAUUCAGCUAGAGAAAUUUCACACAAUCAAUGGGUAGCUUUCUGGAACUUUAUUACUGCCAAAUAACGCGAUAAUGGCGGUUAUCUCCCCUUGAAAGCAAUAUUUUUCUAGUCACUUAGACAAUUGUGACCUUUCAGAGCAAUUAAAUCUGAUCAUCCAAUAUUUAUCUGAUUCCCAUUUUUCCAUUUUACUGUUCGUUCUUAACUUUAAAAUGUACUAGGACAUCAUGCUAUUCUGUUCACUCUCUCUCUCUCUCUCUCUCUCUCUGAAUUUGAACAAAGAAAGAAAAACAGUCUGUGUAUUUAUUUAAGGUGAGUUAUUCAAAUAGUAUUUCUUUUAUUCGUCAAAUCAUGAAAACAUGGAAUAAAGGAAGUAAUGGUGUGUGUAAUUUCAUGCUUUCUCGAGUGCUGCAUUAAAAAUUACAGUCACUGGCAAUGAUAAACUCUCGCAGGAAAGAUGAAGAAAGGGGGUUAUGAGGUGAUUUCACAUGCCCAUUAUUUUGUGUGUCUAUCAUUUGCUGUAAUGCAUGCUUCACAUCAUAAGCUCAUCAAAUUGAUCAAAUUAAAUAAAAAACACUUGUGCGGUGUUCUGCCAUAUGCUUUGAAGCGCUUGACGCUGCUUGUUUAAGGAUAUUGAAGUAUUUGGACCCUGACGCAAGUGUUGCUCCACCUCAUCCAACACAUGUUCUAUCGGAGAGGGGGUGUCAAUCCCAGAUAGUGACAUCCUGCUGUCCCUAGAAGUCACCAAUAACAAUUAAGUGCAGUGUCAGGCCUAAUACGUUGUCUUGGUGAAAGCUGAUAGACCAGCAAAUAAUGGAAAAAAGGGAUGGUACAAAGACUGACACUUUUGUCUCACUAUAGCGAAUUCCUGUAAGAUUUCCUUCAAUGUCAACCACAGGUGUUCCAUAACACCCCCCCCCCCCUCCUUUGUGAUGCCACUUAAUAUUACAGUGUAGCAUUAUCAGGUCGACAUUAUACCCGGGCAUGAUGGUCAGUUAUAAAAGUGAAACCUGGGUUGUUCUGUAAGAGGAAUGUUCACAGCAGGCUAGUUCCCACUCCCCAAUUAUAGAUGUCUCCUCCACGGUAGUAAUGAGCUAUUCUGUGAGGUUGGAGCAGAACAGGGCAGUUGGUGGUUUGUCACGGAUAAAUGUUGGCUUUGUAGAGUCUUAUCCUGGGAGGGUCUUAGCAGUCAAAGUCGAUUUCUAAAAUGAGUCAUCUGCAUCAAGUUGUCUUGUUCCCGUGGUGUAACAUGGGGAUACCCAUAUCCGGGAUAGUCUUUGCUGGAAAUGUCUGUGUCAAUUAGCAUAUACAAUACUGAAAUGCACCCUAAUAUGUCUAGUAACCUUAUUUUGUGAUAGACCUGCUUUUGACAUGCACCAAUUGCAUACAGUUUAUCAGCUUCAUUCAACAAUGGAUGAUUUUAAAAUUUCAAACAAUUUAAUUUCACUCACAAACUCAAGAUGUACAAAAAUCUAUUUUAGCAAUACACAUUUUUUUUUUUUUUUUAUUAGUAUGUUUUAACACCUGUGACACUAAAGAAAGCGCAUUAGUUUGUGGUUUAAUUGUCCAAUUCCAUUUUUUCAUGAAUUAUCGUAGAUUAAAAUAAUCAUACAUGUGCUACAUAAUUAUGACCAAAAAAUGCAAUAACUCCAAUUGCACUAAAAUUCAAAUAUGCUAAAAUGAGUACAUACACAUAAUACUUCACUUGAUGCCUCAGUUAGCUGACCAACAUAAAGAAGGUAUAAAGUAAGUUGGGACAGUUUUAACACAUUACAAACCGUGAAGUGGUGGAUAAAAGAGCUCACUGUCCCCAGUUUAUUCCAUAACGUAUGAAAUGAAAAGAAAUUACUUUCAUUUCUAAUGAUAAAGUUUAGUAAAACAUGCUUGAUGUAAUCUGAUGAAAAAUAAUUCUUAAAAAUAUAGGAAUUUCAUUUGACACUGAGCAAUGUUGUCAGAGCAAAACAAGAGGCCCAAGGGCCACAUCACUCACCAGAGUUACCUUGCCCAUAUUACUUCCAGGGGCCAUGAUUUUUACAAACUAGAAUCUGUACUAUGUUAAUUAGGAACCUUUCAUGUAAAUGUAAAAGUCUUUGGCCCAAUGGUUCUUGAGAAGAUUUUUAAAGAUUUUCCCUAUAUAUUUGUAUGUAAAACUUUGAUCCCCUAUUGUGGCCCCCAACCUACUCCCAGGGGUCAUGGUUUUACCAAACUUGAAUCUGCGAGCCAUAAUUAAUUUUAACAAACAUAAAUCCGCACUAUGCCAGGAAGCUUUCAUGUAAAUCUGUACUUUCCUGGCCCAGUGGUUCUUGAGAAGAUUUUUAAAUGACCCCAACCUUUUUUUGCAUUUUUAUGAAUAUAUCCUCCCUUUGUAAGGGCCCUUCAUUUAAACAAACUUGUAUCUUCUUCACUCAAGGAUGCUAUGUGCCAAAUUUGGUUGAAAUUGGCACUGUGGUUCUGGAGAGGAAGAUUUUUAAAUGUCUUCAAUGUAUAUUCACUAUUAUCUCCCUUUGGAAAGGGGUGUGGCCUUUCAAUUGAACAAACUUGAAUCUUCUUUCCCUAAGGAUGCUUAGUGCCAAAUUUGGUUGAAAUUAGCAUUGUGGUUCUAGAAAAGAAGAUUUUUUAAAGUUGCUAAUAUAUUUUCACUAUUUUGCUAUUAUCUCCCCUUGGAAAGGGGCAUGGCCCUUUAUUUGAAGAAACCUGAAUCCCCUUCACCCAAGGAUGCUUUGUGUCAAGUUUGGUUGAAAUAGGACCAGUGGUUCUGGAGAGGAAGAUUUCUAAAAGUUGUUAAUGUAUUUUUACUAUUAUCUCCCUUUAGAAAGGGGCAUGACCCUUCACUUGAACAAACCUGAAUCCCCUUGCCCCAAGGAUGCUUUGUGCCAAGUUUAGUUGAUAUUGGCCCAGUGGUUCUGGAGAAGAAUUCCAAAAUGUCAAAGUUUACAAACAGAUGGACAGACAGACGGACGACGGACAAUGGGUGAUCAGAAUAGCUCACUUGAGCUUUCAGCUCAGUUGAGCUAAAAUUGAAAACAAAUAAAAGGAGGCAAACGUAUUGUGGCGUCGUUCCUAGGAUGACACAUGGUAGGAAUUAACAGUAACUUAGUUUAUAUGAUAUGAAAAUUUCGAUAAAGUUGAAGGAACCAAUCAUAUUGUUCUUUACAAGUGAAAUCAAAUUUUCAAAUAUUUUUUUAAAUUGUUUGUCACCUAAAUAUCUUUCAUCUAACUAGACGCUAGAACCUAUUAAAGAAAAUCACCUAAAAGGUAAAUUUUCACAGAGUUGAUUUGAAAAUGUACAAAUCUUUGAAAGAAAUGGUUGAAACUACAUGUAUGUGCAUUUUAAGUUAGUGUUUAGGUUAUGAGAUAUUUACAUAAAGAUUGGGGACAAAAAUUAUAUACCAGGCUUGGAUUUCUCGAAAAAAUCUCAAACUUAAGUUUGAGUUUUUCUUCAAUUUCAGCAGUCAAAAUUUGAGUAAAACCUCAACCUUAAGUCCAAGUUUCGACCUAUUAAGUUCUUUUCAAGAAAUCCAGGCCUGUACUAUCAAUUUUAAACAAAUAAAAAAAAUCUGUUUUCCUUACACAAAAUAUAGUUAGAAAAAUAUAUCUUGUUCAAUCCAUGGUCGGAACCCUUAGGUUUUAUCUCCGUUGCACUGCACUGUGGGUUUGGAUGAUGCCCAUGGACCUGAUUGUCCCUAAUUGACUCUAUAUUCAGUACCUGUAGUGUAUUACAUCAUUCCCUGUAUAAUUAUCAGAUUAAUAAAUGAUAUUGACUCACAUUUGCACAAUGUAUUCAAUACACUUUUUUUUUUACUGAUGUAUCCAGCAGUGAUCAAUAUCAGAAAUUGAUCAGGUUCAGUCAGUUAAUUAAGAUUAAUGGGUGACAAAAUGUUCCUUGCUGUUUUCUCUAUCUGUGAAAUUAUCCCAUUUGAGUCAGAUUGCCACAAGCUAAGAAGAGAAUUCUUCCAUUGUAUAACAAUUAAUCUGAUCAGGCAAAUAAUAAGUUGCUUGACUGCUCAAAUCAUUGGGUCCAAUUCCUUACUUUCAAUCUAAGCUGGGUUGAUAAAAUUGAUCAGGCUAUUACACAAUUGCUUACACAGAAUAAUUUUCCCAAAACAGUGAUCUUCCAUCCCGAUACCAGAUCAAACCAUCAACAUUGCCCUCGUGCUUUGGUGAGAUAUCCCCCCUAGUUUAUGUCCAAAUAUUGAUCUAAAUUGUAAUUCGAUUGGUGACCUAACAUUUGAGGUCCACCAUUAGAUUCAUCAGAUAAAAACCAAGACCUUUUUUAUGUAAGUGAUAAAUUCCAUUUCUAUAAUCACAUAUACCCUAAAAGCAACACCAUCAUGCAAAUACUAAGCAUGCAUGUUAACUAUCCUUUCUGAUGGAAGUUACGAAUGAAAUUCUACAGUGCUGGGAUUUUUGUUACCAAAUGGUCGCAAAAUUAGAAGCACUCAGCUUUGAAAAUUUAAAAACCUACUUCCUGUCACAGCCCUAAUGCUUACUUAAUAUUUAAUUUUCAUGCAGGAAUCAGAAUUUAUACCCAAGGACUAAAAUGGUUUGGUUCAUAAACCAACGUGCAGGUUUUUGAAACGUUAUCUACAUUAUUUUAAUGAAGGUUGUAUGCACAAAUUUCUGAUACAUGUUUUUUUUUUUAUUUAGAAAAAUACUAAUGAUAUUAAUUAGGAUGAAACAUCAUAAAAGCCUGAGUUUACCCAUGAUUUCUAAAUCAAGAUGAAAAAGUGUGCAUUUUUGUAACAUUUUCAUUUUCAGCAAAGAUAGAGCACCUUUGUGAACAGGAUUCAUAUUGUUUCUGAAUACGUAUCUUUCAAAAAUACAAGUACUUCAUCUAAUUUUGUCCUUUAAGGGGUGGAUUAAUAUCUAAUUUUGUCCUUUAAGGGGUGGAUUAGUAGUCUGGCCUUAAAAUCAAAUUAUUCUUCAAUAUCUUUGAAAUUCUAUAAUUUCUAAGUCAAAAUACUGUGCAACAAAGAUGAAGAUUUAUUUUUUUCCAAACUGAUUCCUGUAUUUGAAUAUCCUUCCCAUAGCCAUAGUGUAAAAAAGCGUAAUGGCCAAACACAGAGAUUGUAACCCCCUGCGCUGGGCCCAAGAGGAGGAUAUCAGAACAUAUUCAGAAUACUUCGAAAAGGGAAGAUGCAUGCUAUCGUUUGUUUAAAUUACAAAGGUCUGCUUUUAUUCUGUCCAUUUUUAUAGAUCCUUAACUACGCGACAAGCAGAGUAGUUUCAGGAAAGCAUUUUCUUGGAUUUACAUACCCUUCAAAACUGGACCAGUAUAGGUUCCGCUUAAUAGGCACACACUCAAUCCAGGCAUCAAAAGGUAGAGAAAAGUCAACAGAAGGUGACAAAAGAAAAGGUAGGACAAAAGGUGAGAAAAUUACAUCCUAAAAGCAAAAAAAAGAAGAAAAAAAAAAAGUCUCUUGCGCAUACUUCUUCUCAGAGUGACCCCUGUGCCAUAGCCUUUGAUGGAUCCAGGUUAGAAUAGGUCCUUAUCAGUACCCCCUUGCUUGACGUAAGAGACAACUAAAUGGGGCGGUCCUUCAGAUGAGACUGCAAAAACCGAGGUCCCGUGUCACAGCGGGUGUUGCACGAUAAAGAUCCCUCCCUGCUCAAAGGCCAUAAGAGCCGAGCAUAGGCUUAAUUUUUGCAGCCCUUCACUGGCAGUGGUGACAUCUCCAUAUGAGUGAAAUAUUCUCGAGAGGGACGUUAAACAAU